AGCGGACCGCGCCCACUCUCCGCCGCUGCUGGCCGCAGUCCACAUCUGUGACUGAGGACGUGAGCUGCUUUAAAGACCAGUGGACCCAGGGAUCGCGGGAACUUAGUUCUCAUUUACGCACAGUGAUGUCAUCGCGCUGCCAUGCAUGCUGAGAGUGUGUGACAUCACAGUGUGCCCGGCCUCCAGUGGCCUGACUACGCAGGCAAGGAGCUGUGGGCUGAUAUGAUUCCUGCUCAGGCGGUCUCUAUCCGUCAGGUAGGACGGCAGAAAAACAUUGAGACAGGAAGGCCCUGCAGAGGGUGACCAGGACAGCGGAGAAGAUGACUGGCCGCCCGCCGCCCUCCCUAGAAGACAUUGCUCGCUUACCCUGGUCAGCACCUGCUGCCAUCAGGGAAGAGAUUUCGGUCACACCAGCAGGAUAAAGAGAGUUAAAAAGUAUUUUUACUCGUGGGCCAUUAGGAUACUUAAUCGGUCCCAAUAGCUUACAAUGUUUUUCACUGCUGCACUGCUGUUCAUACCGGUAUUUAUUUUUGACAUGUUAUUUAUUGUUUGUCUUGUAUUUUAACUGCACUUAACAGAGUAGCCACCUGUAAUUGUGUCAUGCUCUCAUGU
Nerophis ophidion (straightnose pipefish) is the source of this 612-nucleotide long non-coding RNA. RefSeq lists it as uncharacterized. The record is from RefSeq and is a predicted model, not a curated record. The transcript is spliced from 3 exons. NCBI's taxonomy places the organism in Eukaryota, Metazoa, Chordata, Actinopteri, Syngnathiformes, Syngnathidae.